GACGAACGCUGGCGGCGUGCUUAACACAUGCAAGUCGAACGGAAAGUCUCUUUUGGUGGUACUCGAGUGGCUCACGGGUGAGUAACACGGUAGUAACUUGCCCUCGACUUCCGGAUAACUUCAGGAAACUGGGGCUAAUACCGGAUAGGAAUCCUUCCUGCUUGGUGGGGGUUGGAAAGUUUCGGCGGUUAUGGAUGGACUGGUGGGUUAUCAGCUUGUUGGUGGGAUAGUGGCUUACCAAGGCUUUGACGGGUAGCCGGCCUGAGAGGGCGACCGGCCACCUUGGGACUGAGAUAAGGCCCAAGUACGGACGGGAGGCAGAAGUGGGGAAGAUUGAACGAUGGGCGGAGGCCUGGUGAAGAAACGCCGCGGUCGGGAUAGCUGCCUUCGGGUUGUAAAACGCAUUCAGCAGAGGCGAAGCUUGUAGUGACGGUACCUGCAGAGGAAGCACCGGCUAACUACGUG
RNAcentral lists this ribosomal RNA (465 nucleotides) under uncultured bacterium. Its description in RNAcentral is "partial 16S ribosomal RNA". It matches the Rfam family "Bacterial small subunit ribosomal RNA", at positions 28 to 507 of the family's 1533-position model. The record is from RNAcentral.